Molecule: ribosomal RNA, 253 nt
Filed under: uncultured bacterium
Lineage: Bacteria
Description: partial 16S ribosomal RNA
Rfam family: Bacterial small subunit ribosomal RNA
Source: RNAcentral
UACGUAGGGUGCAAGCGUUGUCCGGAAUUAUUGGGCGUAAAGAGCUCGUAGGCGGUCUGUCGCGUCUGCUGUGAAAACUCAGGGCUCAACCCUGAGCCUGCAGUCGAUACGGGCAGGCUAGAGUCCGGCAGGGGAGACUGGAAUUCCUGGUGUAGCGGUGAAAUGCGCAGAUAUCAGGAGGAACACCGGUGGCGAAGGCGGGUCUCUGGGCCGAUACUGACGCUGAGGAGCGAAAGCGUGGGGAGCGAACAGG